GACGAACGCUGGCGGCGUGCUUAACACAUGCAAGUCGAACGGAAAGGCCCUGCUUUUGUGGGGUGCUCGAGUGGCGAACGGGUGAGUAACACGUGAGUAACCUGCCCUUGACUUUGGGAUAACUUCAGGAAACUGGGGCUAAUACCGGGUAGGAGCUCCUGCUGCAUGGUGGGGGUUGGAAAGUUUCGGCGGUUGGGGAUGGACUCGCGGCUUAUCAGCUUGUUGGGGGGGUAGUGGCUUACCAAGGUUUUGACGGGUAGCCGGCCUGAGAGGGUGAACGGCCACAAUGGGACUGAGAUACGGCCCAGAAGCCAACGGGAGGCAACAGUGGGGAAUAUUGCAGAAUGAGCGGAAGCCUGAUACAGCAACGCCGCGUGCGGGAUGCCGGCCUUCGGGUUGUAAACCGCUUUCGCCUGUGACGAAGCGUGAGUGACGGUAAUUGGUAAAGAAGCACCGGCUAACUACGUG
This 468-nucleotide ribosomal RNA is filed under the name uncultured bacterium. RNAcentral describes it as "partial 16S ribosomal RNA". It matches the Rfam family "Bacterial small subunit ribosomal RNA", at positions 28 to 507 of the family's 1533-position model. The record is from RNAcentral.